This 764-nucleotide long non-coding RNA is filed under the name Homo sapiens (human). RNAcentral describes it as "HSALNT0135069". The record is from RNAcentral. Lineage: Eukaryota; Metazoa; Chordata; Mammalia; Primates; Hominidae.
CACUAAUUGACCUGGUGAUGCCAAGGUGUACUGCGACGUUUCCCAUUGAAGAUAAUGCACUCUUUAGGAAGGCUUUUUUUAUACCAAGUUGGCACAGGCCUGCUUUGAGAUUUUCUGUGUUUCUUGGUGCAGAAAGAGCUAUCAAAUCAUCUUAAGCCUGAGUCAAUCAUUUGAAUUCUUUACCUACACUUCUUUGUAGGUAUUUCUUUGGCGGGAAAUUCUCUUUGGUUUCACAAACAAGAGACUCAAGUUUAUUUCUAAAGAGAACUUUGUGGGAUAGGAGGUCGUUUAACUUGGAAGCUUCUGAAGAAAUUUAUUUACAGAAGAUAAAUCUGAAGAACUAAAAAAUCAUCCCUUCAAAAUUGAGAGAAGGACUCAAUCCUUUCCAAACAGGUUUACCCCAGUUGACUUCCUUUCCUGUAUAACAAAGAGACCCAGAAGCUGAAGGUGGCUUCCUUGCUUCUUCUCCAUGUGCCUCUGUGCAGCCAUCCCAUCAAAACUGAUCACUGAGCCUUCCUGUCCUCUAAUGUAACUUACCAUCAGAGAAAGAAAGUAAGAAGGAAGGAAGGAAGGAAGGAAGGAAGGAAGGAAGGAAGGAAGGAAGGAAGGAAGGAAGGAAGGGAAAGAGAGAAAGAAAGAAAGAAAUUCACAUGUGGGUGAUCUCCAAGUGGAUGAAGUUUGCUCAUUUGAUAAAAGCAAAUACAUUUUAUUUUUCAGAAGAACCCUCUUUUAGUAGAUUUUCUUAAAUAAUCUUUUGGCGAAAC